Molecule: ribosomal RNA, 421 nt
Filed under: uncultured bacterium
Lineage: Bacteria
Description: bacterial SSU rRNA
Rfam family: Bacterial small subunit ribosomal RNA
Source: RNAcentral
UGGGGGAUAUUGCACAAUGGGGGGAACCCUGAUGCAGCGACGCCGCGUGGGUGAAGGAGUGCUUCGGCAUGUAAAGCCCUAUCGGCAGGGAAGAAUAUGACGGUACCUGACUAAGAAGCCCCGGCUAACUACGUGCCAGCAGCCGCGGUAAUACGUAGGGGGCAAGCGUUAUCCGGAUUCACUGGGUGUAAAGGGAGCGUAGACGGCCAUGCAAGCCUGGAGUGAAAGCCCGGGGGUCCCAACCCCAGGGCACUGCUCUGGGAACUGCACGGCUGGAGUGCGGGAGGGGCAGGCGGAAUUCCUGGUGUAGCGGUGAAAUGCGUAGAUAUCAUGAAGAACUCCGAUCGCGAAGGCAAGUGCCCCGGGGCUGCAACUGACGCUGAGGCUCGAAGGUGCGGGUAUCGAACAGGAUUAGAUACCC